UCAUAAAACCUACCGAAAAUUAGUUUUUAAAUGUUAUUGAGCCCCCUCCUUUGCACUAAGUAAGAAUGUGUUUAACUUCUUUCAUGAACUUUUGGUGCAAAGCUUCGGGAAUUACACUCGAUUUCCCUGUGAUAAGAAACCUCCCCCACCAGGCUGAGACUGAGGCAUAGUUUGACUACACAGGUAAGAGUAUCAGGGAGAAGAAAAUGUGAAACAUGCAGAGGAGAAGGGUCAGUGUAAAGAUAAGGAAAGCCAAAGGAGACAUAGUCAGUAACUGGAGGCUGCAGACAAUAAUGAAGUAGUAAAGCAGGUUUGUGCUGCCUACUGGGCAUAAAGCUCUUAUUAUACUAUUGUUAGCCCACAGUUUACAUUGCUUUGCAGCAUGUAUAUCUUACUAGCCAAUACCUCACUAACACUGAUUUCAAGUGAGUCAUGUGAUCUUAGGCAAGCUUCCCCUUUAUACCUUGUUCAUAUUAGGGUGGAAAGGUAUUCUGUUCUUACCUCAAGGAUACAUUUUUUGGAUUAUAAUUUCUUGGAUCACUUCUUCAAUAAAGGUCAAGGAAUCAAAGUUUAUCUAAAGGCUGUUUUCUUGUGAGUAAGCUACUGCUAAAUGUAAGUUCAAUCCAAUUUCUACCACGACUUACUGGAGGCAAAAUAAGGUUGAUGAAAGUAUAUUGAAGGCAGAAGACAAAGUACAUAAUAAAUAGGUAAAAGAACAUUAAAGUAAGAAAUUUAAAAAGAAAAGGGCUCAAAUAUAGAAAAAAAACUAGUGAUGAGGAGAAAAUGAGUGAGGGGGAUGGAACAAAGAUAUAGAAUGAGAGUGAGUUGCUAAGCCAUAUAUGUACUUCUGUGCAGUACUUGGGUAGGGGUCUGUGUCUUGAUUAUUUUGUGUACAACACGCUUUCCCCCUCCCCCAU
Long non-coding RNA from Xenopus laevis (African clawed frog), 917 nucleotides. RefSeq lists it as uncharacterized. NCBI's taxonomy places the organism in Eukaryota, Metazoa, Chordata, Amphibia, Anura, Pipidae. The record is from RefSeq and is a predicted model, not a curated record. The transcript has 2 exons.